Non-coding RNA from Procambarus clarkii (red swamp crayfish), 334 nucleotides. The record is from RefSeq and is a predicted model, not a curated record. NCBI's taxonomy places the organism in Eukaryota, Metazoa, Arthropoda, Malacostraca, Decapoda, Cambaridae.
GUGGCAUUCACUGGGCGUUCCUUAUAUCACAGUGGCUAUAUGCAGUCAAGUAACGUUGGGGUCAGGUCGUGUCUAGAUCACGUUCACGUUGGGGUCAGGUCGUGUCUAGAUCACGUUCACGUCGUGUUCUGGUCGUGUCUGUCAUGUUCACGUUGGGGUCAGGUCGUGUCUAGAUCACGUUCACGUCGUGUUUGUCAUGUUCACGUUGUGGUCAGGUCGUGUCUAGAUCACGUUCACGUUGUGGUCAGGUCGUGUCUAGAUCACGUUCACGUCGUGUUCUGGUCGUGUUUGUCACGUUCACGUUGGGGUCAGGUCGUGUCUAGAUCAUGUUCAC